RNAcentral lists this ribosomal RNA (324 nucleotides) under uncultured bacterium. RNAcentral's name for it is "bacterial SSU rRNA". It matches the Rfam family "Bacterial small subunit ribosomal RNA", at positions 28 to 334 of the family's 1533-position model. The record is from RNAcentral.
GAUGAACGCUGGCGGCGUGCUUAACACAUGCAAGUCGAGCGAAGCGAUUUUAAGGAAGUUUUCGGAUGGAAUUGGAAUUGACUGAGCGGCGGACGGGUGAGUAACGCGUGGGUAACCUGCCUCAUACAGGGGGAUAACAGAGAGAAAUUUCUGCUAAUACCGCAUAAGCGCACAGCAUCGCAUGAUGCAGUGUGAAAAACUCCGGUGGUAUGGGAUGGACCCGCGUUGGAUUAGGUAGUUGGUGAGGCAGAGGCUCACCAAGCCGACGAUCCAUAGCCGACCUGAGAGGGUGAACGGCCACAUUGGGACUGAGACACGGCCCAA